This 5423-nucleotide unclassified non-coding RNA is filed under the name Leishmania donovani. Its description in RNAcentral is "gene:LdHU3.13.0240(CDS-product:hypothetical_prote in_conserved)". Lineage: Eukaryota; Euglenozoa; Kinetoplastea; Trypanosomatida; Trypanosomatidae. The record is from RNAcentral.
CGAGUGCGUCGAUUCUCUUUACCUCUGCCUCACGUGACUUUUCACAUCGAAGCAACGCACCCCGCACACACUCCCCGCUCGCCCAAGCAAGCAUCUAACACAGGUUACUCACACAGACAUCUGCCAUCGCGUAUCCACACACGCAGUCAUGCUGACGCUAACACUGGUGCGGCGCUCCGACGUCGGCGCAGCUGUGGCGUCUGCGAUGUACAAAGGCUACGUCUCCAAGCGUCAAAACAGCAGCGGCGCCUACUACACGGCGCGUCCUCGCACGAAGCCCGCGCCACUUUCGGCGCUGAGGCAUCCUGUCUCCACCCCCAGCAAGGCACAGCUGAAGGAGUUCAAGCGUUUCUACGAGGCCGUCACACGUUCGAGGGAGGCGACGAGUCUGCCGCCUACGCCGCUUGGCCAUGGCGGCAGCGAGCGUAUCCUCAACAACGAGCUCCUGCACCAAUGCCCGUGGCAGGCGAGCUGCGUGGAGCUGCGGGAGCGCGCCGUAGAGCCGGAAAGGAAGGUGCUCAGCUACGGCAACGUCGACUUUGCGAGCCUGCGCAAGCAGUCACGCCGCAACGCCGCUGCGGCCGAUGGGACGAGCAAGACCACUAGCUCAUCGCCGUAUGGUUCCUACUCGAACGUGGAGGACAUGCUUGAUAAGCCCAGCGGAGAGUCGGUGCAGCAGCGGCAGCAGGGCCCCGGGCUCGACGUCGUCCACUACUACGAGACCUCCACCCCAGAAGGCUUGGCCGGGUAUCAGCAGAUUACGAUGCAGGUGCGGAAGGGGAAGUUGCCCGGGUCCUGCACCAACUUUUCGGCCGAGGGCGGGUUCGCCGUGUGGGUCGUGCCACACAACGAGUACAUAGAGACUCUGAGCGCGAUGGGCUACCUCCCCGAGUAACAUCUGUGGAUGAGGUCACGUGCGGCGGAAUCGGCGACUAGGAGACGGGGAUGGGCCAGGAUAGGGAGAGAGAAGUAGAGUGGCAAGUCGGCAGGUGGCCGGUCGAUGGGCGACAGAAAAUGGGCCAGCGAGCCACUGUGUGCACCUCAGCACACGUGCUCGUCCGUCGCGCUGUCGUGGAGGUGCAGGACGACCUCCUCGCCUUCCUUGUAGAUCUAUGUGAUGCGCUGCUGCCAUCUCCUCCACUCCUUUCUCCGUGUGCCUAUGUGCCUGAGUGUAUGCGCAGCAGAUGCAACUCAAACGCUUGUGUUUGCGUCUCAUGCGAUUACAUAGCUACAGGCACAGCCUCAGUGCAGUCUGCCGCAGUUGUGUCUGUGUGUACGCCGUGUUUUCUGUCUGCUGAUCUUCUCGGCCCUCUCUCCAUCUCUGUUGUUUUGGUGGUUGGCGGCGUUCGCACUGCCGCCUCCGGUGUGUGUGCGCGUAAGUCCGUUUUUCAUCGGGUUUUAUCGCUCCCGUCGUUAUGCGUGUCGGUGUGCGUGCGUGCGUGCUCCUCUCCCCUCCCCCAGAAUGCUGCCUCAUCUUGUGUGCUCGAUGUUGUACACACCGACACAUAUACACGUGUCCUCUUUCUCUUGUUCUUUCCACGAUUUGCUUUCUUCAUCCGACUAGUUGUGCAGGCCGCCUCUUUUCUCAUCGCACGCCACCGCCGCUGUCUCUUCGUGGUCUCCUCUGUGGCACAAAUGUGUGCGUACGUGUCGUCUCUCUCCCUCUCUGGGUAUACGCAUUCUUUUCUUUUCUCGCUUACUCGCCUCUGUCCCCCAACUCGUUGGCCACACCCCCUCUCUGUGUCUCCAGCGCUCACGCACACACGCACGCACGCAGGAAGGCCGCCACAGCAGCGGCGCAUGCGCGCAUCAGUCUCACGCUUCAGAACACGCUAGCGCCAUGCUGUGUUUCUAUCUGUGUGCGAGUGUGCCACUGCGUGUGAUGUUCGAGAACAGGUGUCUUCCACCGCUCCACAUCUCUUCCCUUAAAGUCGAUGGUGCACAUGAAGAGCUCUGCACUAGACAGCGGUACACCCACCGCACUGAGGGUGGGGCGGAGGAGCGACGAGACGAAGAAGGGACGUCACUCCGGUGCGGCGGAUGGGCGGAGUAGGGGGCAAGCAGGGUGGUGGUGGUGGUUGGCCGACAUGCGGGAGGUAAGCAAGGUGAUCGAAAAGAGUGCAGAGGAGAGCGUAUUGCCUGCUGGCUGCUGCUGUUGUAUGCCAAACGAAGCAAAAUCUGUGUGGUGAGAUGUGGAAUACAUGUGUGCGUGUACAAGUGCGGCGACACACGCACACAAGGCAUCGGCUUAUACCCUUUCUCUUAGGUGAUUUCUAUAGUGUUGUCACUUGUCCCUGCGGGCUUCGACAGUCGUUGCGUUGCUCUGCCCCCCCCCUCCCCGUGCGUAUGUGUGCGUUUUUUCGGAUUGCAUUUUCAAAUUUUCUUUUUUUUUUCGACUCGAGUUUUCUUCCUUGUUUUUUAUCCCUCUCGCUGUACAUCCUCCCUCCCCGUCGUGGAUCCUGUCGUUGCCUUCGCACAACCGCUGCGCGUCCCUGCGCGCGUGAUGAAUGCUAGAUGUGCCUCUGUGCAGCUGUCUUCGUUUUCGGACUUGCCUUCUUCUGGCUCUCAAACUUCAUAAUGCUGCACUUUUCCUCCUCUCGUGUGCGCUCACACGUGUUGCACGUGUGCAUGUGCAUAUCUCAUGAUCCGGAAGCGGUGUCGAAUAUCUCGGAGGUUGGAAGAGGGGUGGAGGAGAGUUGCUCACAUCAUAGGGACUGUGUUGUAUCAACUUCAACACCUCCUCUUCCUCGUGCGGCUCUUUGAUAUUUUCUGAGUCUUCCUUCUCUUAUCCUUCGCUCCGCUCUCUUUCUCUCCGUGUGCAUGUACGGGUGUGCGAUUGUGUGAGGCUUCACCACUGGCCUUCUUCACCCCACGCACCGCCCUCGCCUCACCGCGGCCCGGCCCCCUAAUCCACCCCUCUUUUCGGCGUAUUCUCACCCUCUUCUUCAUGGUCUAACCGCCAUUUGGGGGCUUUGUUUCGUCUUCCUUCCCUUCUUGUCUCCGUAGGUGUGUGUGUGUAUGCGUGCUGCACUUCCCCCUCUCUCUUUCUCUGUUGGAACGGGUGGCGCUUGUUGUUGGUGCGCUGCUCUCUUCCUCUGUUGUGGUUGCCGGUUUUUAAGUCUGUGAGCGUUUCCAUCAUGUGCUUUCCUGCUCUCUCGGGUCUCUCACCGACUAUCGAGGUCCCUCCCCCCUCAGACAGGCACAUGCAUGUCUGCCGUCCCUCUUCUCUUCUGCCACCUUCACCACAUCGAAGGAUGCAUCGAUCUUGCUUUUGUGUUUCUAUUCCAUGUACCCCCACACACAUGCCCAUCUUUCUCACUCGUGCUCUUCUCUAUGUGCGAUGCGGCCACCACCACCACCACCGCCGCCGCCGCAGCUGCUGUGAUGACGAUGAUGAUGGGGGGGGGCGUACGCCAAACGGCAGCGAGAAAAGCAGAACCCUCGGUGGCGGCGUCAGGACAGCAACGAGGGCGAGGCGGUGGCUCAAGAAGCAUGUGCGUGCAGGCAUGCCUGCAUAUAUGGUUGCGGUCUGUUCUCUCUCUGUGAGACUCUCUUCUUCUCCAGCUUUACCUGUGUUGUGCCGCAAUCGUGCGCCCAUACGGAUCCUUGCGUGUGUGCGUGCGCGUGAUGCAGACGCACCCGCGAACACGAACGCAAGCGCACACACGCGCCACAACUCUCCCAUCUCAGUGAUUUCUUCACCUUCUCUCCCUCUGUCUUCUUUUCGCUCAUCACUCUCAUCCCUGUUGUACACCCUUUCCGUCCCCCCCUCCCUCUCUCUUCUGUCCUGUCCGUGUUGGCGUGUGUGUGCAUGUGCGUCUGGGCGUGUGUCUCUCAAUGUAUGUUUCGUGUGCGAUGUAUACGUGUCUAUCUCUGUCACUGGAGCACACACAUAGACACAUGCACAUGUGCACCAUAAUAUGCCGUACAUAAUAUAUGCACAUCGACUCUUUUCAGAUGCAGUCUUUGACUUCUCUCAUUUUUUUUGUCUUCCUCUCAAUUCCAGUUUCUGUGUGCUUUCCUUCUUCAUCCGCAAUCCUAUUUCGUAUUGGUUGGCGUUGAUGUCGCCGGUCGGAGCAUGUUCGGCCGUACUCAAGUUCUUUGCGCGAUACCCCAUUGUCUGCCCUCCUCUACCCCUCUUCCUGUCUCACUCUCUCCCCACAGACUCACAGACAUGCAUAUGCAGCAAGUGGAGGCAGUCUUGUAAGCUCUCUGCCACCUUUUCUUUUCGUCCCUCUUGACUGCUUCCCUCCUUUCCUUCCUGGCUCCCUCGUGUCGUGCUGUAUUGACCUCCUCACGUCACGUUUUGCGUCCGUGUCCAGUCUUCUGCCGGCCCACGGGCUCACGAGAGACUGAGGAAGAGAGAGGAGCCGGCAGAUGUGCGCGCAAGGCGCAAGAAUGAUGUGUGCUACGUGGAAAGGUGGACGCCGGCGCCCAGGCCAGCGCGUGCAUGCGCGAGCAGGGGGUGAGGUAGAGGAGAGAAAGGGUGAUGUUACGGAGGUGUUGCGCGAGUGUGCGGGAGCGCGUGGCUGAUGAGCUGUGCAGCUCAUUCUACAGUCCCUCCCUCCCAAAACACUUGUCAAGGCAUGCGCACGAUGACACUUCCAUCUCUUUCCCUCUCUCGGGAACGCUGACGCGCCCUGCCUCGCAGUCAUUUCUGAUGCGCUCUUCUCGCGCCCCCAUCUCUUCUCUAAAUUUCCGUCGUGGUUUCUUUCUUAUCCCACUUCGUCUUACGCCGUGAAUUCGUGUGCGUGUGCGAAGUGCUGUGGUGGGCAGCUGAGACGGAUGUGCUUCUUGUUGUUUUCUCCAAACACUCCUACAUGAGGCGGAGAGAGGAGUCAACGUCACGCCAGGCAUGCGUGCACGCGCUUAUGCGCCGAUGUGUGAGCGGCUUUUGCGUGUCACUGGAUGCAUACCCGCACAAGCUUUCCUACGCCGCCGCUACCCGCUGCUUUCUCUCGCUCCGUCUCGCACGUAAGCACUUGCUGGACCGCCGCUCUUUUCUCGUUGGCCUCCACCGUCAUUUCGUGUUUCUCUUUUCGCUGGUCUUUUUUUUCGGUCGAUUCACUUCAUCUCUCUCUGUGUGGGCGUGUCUGUCCUUCGCUCUGUAGGACGAUGAUGACGCGCGUGUGCGCGCCGGCGGGUGUCUAUGCGCUCUUGUUCUCUUGCACUUUCUCCUCGGCUUUGUUGUGUUUAUGCGAGGGUAGUGACGUGGGAUGUCUACCACGGUUGUCGGCGUUGAGUGUGUGUGCCCGCGUCGUCCCUCACCCCACCACCCCCUGCCCACUUUGGAUCUCAGCUGCCCUCGGGCGGCAUUUCUUCUGACUUUCUUUUUUUUUUUGGUCUUCUACGAUUCCGCUUCGUCUCCAGCGCGCGCCUGUGCGCACCUGCGUGGUUCUCUGACUGUGCACAUGCCGACACAC